AGCAGUAGCCGCGGGAAUACGUAGGGGGCAAGCGUUAUCCGGAAUUACUGGGUGCAAAGGGAGCGUAGACGGUUAAACAAGUCUGAAGUGAAAUGCCAGGGCUCAACCCCGGAGCUGCUUUGGGAACUGUAGAACUGGAGUGUCGGAGGGGUAAGCGGAAUUCCCAGUGUAGCGGUGAAAUGCGUAGAUAUUGGGAGGAACACCGGCGGCGAAGGCGGCUUACUGGACGACAACUGACGUUGAGGCUCGAAGGCGUGGGUAGCAAACAGGAUUAGAUACCCCCGUAGUCCCUGUCUCUUAUAC
This 303-nucleotide ribosomal RNA is filed under the name uncultured bacterium. RNAcentral describes it as "partial 16S ribosomal RNA". It matches the Rfam family "Bacterial small subunit ribosomal RNA", at positions 507 to 807 of the family's 1533-position model. The record is from RNAcentral.